AUUUGGGAAAAUAAACAAGUAGAGAAGAAACAACUCCCGCUCUAGUUUUUCCUGAGGCGCUUUUAUUUUUUCAUUCAUUCAUUUUUUUUCCGUCUGGCGCUUUUUUAUAUUUUUUUCCCUUUUCUUUUUUCAUUCAUUCAUUAAUAUUUUUUUUUUUUAAUUUUGUCUGCCAUCUGAGAAAACAGGGCUUCUCUUCCUCCGUCCCGCAGGCGAAACUAUCCGCCACUUCUCUGGCCUCAGUUUGUGAAGACUCGCAUCUCACACCAGGACUCGUUAGAUGAAUAAGUGCAUGUAGUGGUGGUUGAUUGUUAAAGGAAGGGAGUAACAACAAGCAAAGAAUCGUUUGAGUUGUUUUGAUCAAAAAGAGGGUCGAUGAUGCAGUGCCAAUUUCUACGAGUCAUGGGUGUGAAGAGAUUCAGUGGUGGAGAGAUUCAUGGUCAUACUCCAGGAUUACAUUAAGGUUUGAAUUGACUUCGUUGGCAUGCUUGUUAGCUGCAAGCCUACAAGUGCGAGAGAACAACUAUUUCCCUCGGGUAACUAUUCUUACCGUAGUGAAUCUGCUGGGCAAAACUAUUUGGCGUAUUCAUGAAGAUAGUUUUGAACCAAUUGUAAAAGCAAUUGAAGAAAAUAUAAUUGGCUGAGCGAUGUCACAAUUGUUUGUUCAAUGAGCAGCUUAAGUCAUAAUUCUACGUUUGCGGCAUUUACGGUGUUGUUGCGUUUGUAGAACUUGGAAUUUUUGGUAUUGUUUUUUACAACCCUCUUUCUGUUUCGUACAACCUUUCAUACACACGUUGAGAUACAUAAACUGUAUUAUAUUUCAUGGAUUUUGUACUUUUGUGUCUUUUGAAUAUGUUAGGAAAUAUUUAAUCAAUUCUCUCUUUUCAUUGCAGCUUUUUUUGUUUCUUAUAAUUUUAUACUUUCAUAUUUUGCCUUGGUUAUGUCUAAUAGUUAUGCCGUGUAAGCUUAUAUUGAAAAUGUUGAUACAAGCCAAAUUAGGUUACACAUUGUUCUCUCUCUGACUUUAUGAUAAUUCUUGAUAUGGAUUAAUUGGUUUUACUUUUCAGGACAAAUCUUCUAUAAAAAUUGAAAAAGGUCAAAAAAUAUGUGGCUAAAGUGCUGAUUAGGGAAAGAAAGAAAAAAAAACAGAAAAUUGGUGAUGUAGAGGAUGUCUUUGUUGGAGAUAUAAGACAUAUUGAAAGUCUUGUUCCUGCAAUUCUCACAAUUGCAGUACCACUGAUGUAACAUGGAUAUGAUCUAAACCAAGAAAUAAUAGCUAUGAGGUAUGUACUUAAUCUAUGAUCUAAACCAAGGAAUGUUAUGUGUGAUCUAUUUUGGUGUUGGCCCCCUCAAUGUUUUGGUUGUGCUGCUGUUGUGAUUGGCGUGUGCGUGUUGCCUGAGAUAUUUUUUGCCGUUGUUUUAAUUUUUAGUUUUGUUGUAUUUGGGGCAGUUCUGUUUUCUUUCUCCCUGUUAGUGGUUUAUUAUUGGGUUUUGGUUCAUGUUGUGGUAGUAGUUUCAUGUGUUUGGUAAGGUUUGGCUAAGUCCAUGUUUGUGUUUAGUUUGCUACUGAAACCUCUGUUAUGAUGUUUAAACUUAAUUAAUGGUCUAUUCUUUUAAAUUUACUUUAGGUUCUAUGAUGUCAAUGCUAGUUGUAAGUUUUUUCUUCAAGUUUACUUAAAUCAAUGGUCUAUUCUUUUAAAUUUACUUCAGGUUCUUGAAAUGGCAGAGCUAAGCAUGUGACGUAACUUGAGCCUUGAGGUUUAGGCAGUUGCAAUAGGAUUAGCGUUUUCAAAUGGAGGACAGUGAACUUGAUUUCUCGCCUCUGGUCUGUGUUAAUCUUCUAGCUGCUGCUAAGUUUGCGUUCAUCUUCCUCCAUGUUGGGUUUGCGUUCAUAGCUGUCCUUGAUGGGUGUAUCUCCUUGUCGAGAUGGAUACUAAUGAAAAUGAUGUGAUGAAGUUCAACUUUAGUUACUUUUUGUUAUAUAUUUUUGUUAAAUUAAUCAUAUGUAUUUUUGUGUUUGACAACUUUAAGUUUGAUAUUAUUAUAUAGUGUCGUAAUGGCAUACUUGAUACUUUGUAAGAAUGACAUACAUUUUUAUGUUAAUGUUUCAAAUUUGGUGUCAA
This is a long non-coding RNA of Trifolium pratense (red clover), 2120 nucleotides long. RefSeq lists it as uncharacterized. The record is from RefSeq and is a predicted model, not a curated record. The transcript is spliced from 7 exons. Lineage: Eukaryota; Viridiplantae; Streptophyta; Magnoliopsida; Fabales; Fabaceae.